Adelges cooleyi (spruce gall adelgid) is the source of this 934-nucleotide long non-coding RNA. RefSeq lists it as uncharacterized. The record is from RefSeq and is a predicted model, not a curated record. Lineage: Eukaryota; Metazoa; Arthropoda; Insecta; Hemiptera; Adelgidae. The transcript has 3 exons.
GGUUAUAAAUACCCUCAAUUUUCAGGAGUACCUCUGUAAUUAAAAAAAAAAAAAUUAUUUCUAUAACUAAUUAACUAUUUUGUAGCAAGUAUUUCGAUUUACUUGUAAAAUUCCAAAUUCCCGGUCUUUGUUGUAUUCAUUUGUUGGUUUAAAAUUCUGUGAAAGACCUCCUGAUCAUUGUUUGUCCUCCUGGCCUGUCCGUAACGCUAAAUUCUGCGCACCGGUUCCUAUAUUUUUUUUAACCCCAGAGCAUUUCAUAUACAUAAAAAUAAAUUCAGUAUUUUGGAGUCGAGAGCGUUUUAAAAGUUUAUAGCUGUGAUUGCCGGAGAGAUGGCGGCUUCUUUUAACCAAACGAUUUUUUGCCCGGCAACAGUGAGUGCCAAACACACUAAUGCCUUACCCACUCUGCCAUUUCCUCUCCACUAUGUACAAAGAUGUACGCAUUUCACUUUUAUGUUAGUAUUGAGAGAAAAUCAAACAAAAUCAAAUUGUUUUUUUCUUUUGUUAGUAUUACAACUGGGGGAGGGGGAGGCUUCUGUACAAUAAUUAUGAAUCUUAUUAAUUUAGGUAAAUUUAAUGAAUAUUAUAUCCAUAAUAAUACAAAGUGAUUUGAAAAACUGUUUUCUAAGGUUUGCAGUACUAAACACUUACGGUUCAUCCACUGGUUCUCGAAGUAAUUAAUAUAUCGACGAGCUAUUUGUUCGUUUACCGCGUGACUUCUCUCUUCUUUGAUCAGGUUAAAACCCUCGGCUAUGUGCUCGACCGGUAAAAGGGCCAGAGCCUUCGACAUGCGGAACAUGUUAUGCAAUGCCAAGUCGUUACGAUAUUCACGUCGCCGCAUGCCAAACUCUUUACCUUUUUUCUAAAGUGCCUAAAAAUUACCAUAAACAUUUUAAAAUGGCAACACACGAUGCUAUAUUUUAUAGCACCGGAA